AUAAACUUGAUUCUCCUUCAAAACCAAGAACUGUACUUCCUCAAAAAUCAAAGAACAAAAACCAAGCUGCAAGCAAGGAGUUCUGCCCUGGCGUCACUACCUGUCUACGAGUUAGAGGAUCCAGACGGAGUCUUACUAUUUGCUGAACUUCACUAAUAAGAGCACUUGGAGGCUUCUCCACAGCUGAGUGUAUUCUUUUGUUCCUCUCCUUCCAAACCAGAUACACU
This 227-nucleotide long non-coding RNA is filed under the name Brassica napus (rape). RNAcentral describes it as "long non-coding RNA (BNAP_LNC003849)". The record is from RNAcentral. Lineage: Eukaryota; Viridiplantae; Streptophyta; Magnoliopsida; Brassicales; Brassicaceae.